UUCGGAAUUACUGGGCGUAAAGGGCGUGUAGGCGGCAACUUAAGUCGUGUGUUAAAGACCGGUGCAUACCACCGGAGCGGCAUGCGAAACUGGGUUGCUAGAGUGUAAGAGAGAGGAGUGGAAUUCUUGGAGUAGCGGUAGAAUGCGUAGAUCUCAAGAGGAACACCGAUGGCGAAGGCAGCUCCUUGGCUUACAACUGACGCUGAGACGCGAAAGCGUGGGGAGCAAACAGGAUUAGAUACCCUGGUAG
Molecule: ribosomal RNA, 250 nt
Filed under: uncultured bacterium
Lineage: Bacteria
Description: partial 16S ribosomal RNA
Rfam family: Bacterial small subunit ribosomal RNA
Source: RNAcentral